AACGAACGCUAGCGGGAUGCCUCAAACAUGCAAGUCGCACGCGAAAGGUGCAAUACCGAGUAGAGUGGCGCACGGGUGAGUAACACGUAACUAACGUACCCUUUCGCUGGGGAUAACUCCGGGAAACCGGAGCUAAUACCGAAUGAUCUGAUUGGGACUGCGGUCUUAAUCGGUAAAGGCGUAAGCCGCGAAAGGAUCGGGUUGCGGUCUAUUAGCUAGUUGGUGAGGUAACGGCUCACCAAGGCUACGAUAGAUAGCUGGUCUGAGAGGAUGAUCAGCCACACUGGAACUGGAACACGGUCCAGACUCCCACGGGAGGCAGCAGUUGGGAAUAUUGGACAAUGGGGGCAACCCUGAUCCAGCAAUCCCGCGUGAGGGACGAAGGCC
RNAcentral lists this ribosomal RNA (387 nucleotides) under uncultured bacterium. RNAcentral's name for it is "bacterial SSU rRNA". It matches the Rfam family "Bacterial small subunit ribosomal RNA", at positions 29 to 416 of the family's 1533-position model. The record is from RNAcentral.